CAGAGGACCAUCACUCGGCAAAGUUUCAGUGCAUGCCGUUGAUGUAGACGGCGUGAAAACGGAAACAAGAAGUAUGCCGGCUCACUGUGCUGCAUACAGUUACACACUACGUCGUACGAUUGAGACAAGGAAACUUGGAAUGACUUUUCAUAGGUUUCCCAGAGACUAUGGGUUGAGGAGGAAUUGGAAGUUUGUCGGCUUAGACCUGUGUCAUUCCAUCAGUGUUAAACUUCCCGGCUCAUUUUGGAAGAGUACGUGCCAGAAAGACCACGACCAAGCAGCCUUGAGAUCUUAGGCAGCGUCUCCCUGAGGUCCCUCUCUAUCUCCCCACACAUCCACCAACCACUGGAACACAUCUCCAAAGUUCUGCCGGGCCAGCUCAGCUUCCCCUCAGAAGAAGUGCUGCCACCUGCCAGAUGAAGGAGCCUUUUGAGAGGCAGCUGGCAUCGUGAUUGGACUGUACUUUGGUCUGUUCCAAUCCAGCUUCAGCUCCAGAGACGGCAGGCGGGACGAGUCAACGGAGGCCUGGUGGACGAAGGCAUGCAGCUGAGUACAAUCCAGAAAACAACAAAGGAGGAGUGCAGCGGCCCAGAGCCAGAACAAACAGAGUAGCAUCGUAUGUCUCUUAGAAAACAUCAUAGUAGAGCCUUUGGUAUGAAAAAACGCCAUCAUAUACAUCAUAUAUUGUACAAAUAAAUCAAAGGAAAGAGACAUACAUUGUAGAAUUGUAGUAAUUGUGGGCUGACUGAUUUACUGAUUAUCAAUAUUUUAUUUUUUACUGAUUUACUGUAAUAAAUACAUUUAAAAGUGGC
Long non-coding RNA from Amphiprion ocellaris (clown anemonefish), 812 nucleotides. NCBI's taxonomy places the organism in Eukaryota, Metazoa, Chordata, Actinopteri, Pomacentridae. The record is from Ensembl.